UGGUCAUCAUCAAGCGGCAGUUCGAGUGUUGGAGGAUGUGGAGAGGAGGUAUCACAGCAAGGUCAAGGCUCUGUGUGCAUUUAGAAGACUAAAGGGAGACAUUGAUCUGAAGGUGUUUGCUGAUAUGCUAUUAGGCAACACUGACAACAGUGAACCUCCAUUCGCAUUCUGUGUACAUUUUUUAAGACAGGAAUCGCACUGUGCCCCUUUAAUUUUAUUGUUUGAAAUGAAUCGCAAUAUCACUGAAGAGGAAGUGGCACAGAGAGAUUACAUUGAAAAACAUUGGAUGGGCAGUGCUGAGGUGGAUGCUCUUCCGUUCCUAUACUAUAUGCAGUAUCUCACGUAUGAUGGACUCGGUGAACGUGACAAACAGCUUCAUGCUAUGGAAGUCUUCGAGGCUUAUAUAAAUAUAAGAAAUCAAUUCAACCUGCAUCACCCAGAGACUUCACUCAACUUGCUGGGGCAUUGUUACGAAAUGGAAGGAGACUAUGCAGGAGCGUUACAUUACUACGAGUGGUCGUUGCGUUGUCGUCGUACAAACAACGCCGCUAACUGGCACGUCCUGCGUAUUAUGCGUCUCAUAAGUGGUUAAAAGAACAAUAUAACAAUGUAACGACAUUAAACAAAUAACUAUAAACCUAUGUUAAAUAUAAGAUAUUUGUGACCAGUUAGUUAGUCUCGAUUAUGUAAUUUAAUAAUAUGUACAUGUAUUAUAAACUGUAAGAAGAGGCAAUGUAUUUGUAUGUUUCAAAAUAUUAACAUGGCUACAUUGUACACUCUGAAUUGGUGUGUUGAAAACUCUCUUAUUUCUGUCAAAUACGCAUGAUGAUGUGUAAAUUGUUAUAUGCACGUGCUCUUAUAUUUUUUGUUAUGAAUCUUUUGGACGCACUUUAGAAUCAGAAGUUAUAAUCAACCACUACGUCUAUACAUAUAAUUCAUAUAUUUACCUCCACGUGGAAUAUAUACGUGUGUCCAGAAAUGUCAAUAAGCCAUUUUACGGUUCAAAUUGUAAAUAAAUCGUUUUACAAAUGAAUAAAAAAUAAAGAUAUACGCUACAUACAAUCUUCCUCAAUUGCGCAGGAAUUGGAUGGAGAAUAUAAAGAUUUGAUACAUAAAUGUGUUACUGCAUUGAAUAAUGAACAUAUAUGAAUAGAGCUUGUUUGCUAUGAAUACAUUUGUAAAUUUAAA
This is a long non-coding RNA of Dreissena polymorpha, 1188 nucleotides long. RefSeq lists it as uncharacterized. The record is from RefSeq and is a predicted model, not a curated record. NCBI's taxonomy places the organism in Eukaryota, Metazoa, Mollusca, Bivalvia, Myida, Dreissenidae. The transcript is spliced from 2 exons.